RNAcentral lists this long non-coding RNA (5786 nucleotides) under Nicotiana benthamiana. RNAcentral describes it as "long non-coding RNA (NBEN_LNC008620)". Lineage: Eukaryota; Viridiplantae; Streptophyta; Magnoliopsida; Solanales; Solanaceae. The record is from RNAcentral.
UCUGAUAAAAGUAUUUCUACGUAUUAUAUUACUAGUUAAGAGUUGGCCCGGGCUCUAAGUAUUUCUACGUAUUAUAUUACUAGUUAAGAGUUGGCCCGUGCUAAGCUCAAGGUGGAUAAGGAAUUUUUUUGAUUAAAAAAGAAUAUCGUGUGGCACAUUAUUAGAAUUUUGCCAAAUCACUUCUUAGUAAACCUCAUCAAAAAUAAUUCGAGUAAACUGAAACAACAACAACAACAACAACAACAAAUCCCAUUUAGUGGGGUUUGGGGAGAUACCCAUAUGGUCAUACCCUUGGAUAGAGAGGCUGUUUCCAAAUAGAAACUCGGCAUCUUUCCCUCCAAGAACUUUCCACCUUGCUCUUGGGGAGACUCGAACUCAUAACCUCUCGGUUGGAAGUGGGGGUUGCUUACCAUCAGAGCAACCCCUCUUGUCUUAAAACUGAAACUACAAAUCAAACUUAAAAUAUAUUCUUCUUGCGAGUCGGAUUCCAAAUUCUCCACCACAUUCCUCUAUGGUUUCUGUAUUGAAAUGAAAGUAAGAGAUAUGGGAAUCCUUGUUUCUCUCCCGUCACAGUGCCAGCAAAGUAUCAUUAAGAUCCACAAACAAGAUCCAGAAGUCCUUACAUUAUGUGCUAAGCUGAAUUGACAAAGCAUAAUUGAGAGGAGAAAGGGAAACCAAAGCACAAAGUGUCGUCUUCAGUCUUCUAUUUUUCGAGGUGACACGGAGCAAACAACUUAAAUAUUUCAUAGUGUAAGAAGUUCAACAGAGAAAGAUAAUCAACCCUAGUAAUGAGACCUCUUCUUUCUCCCCUGGACACGAAAUAAAAAAGCAAAAGGAAAAGAGAUCUAGCAGGAAAAUAUUUAGUGCUCUAAAUGAUCUAAUUAAACCCUACAAUUUUAGAAAACUAAAAUAGAAUUACAGACUACACAUAGAACUUACCAGUGCGACCAUUUAAAAGUAAGGUUAAUCGCAUUCAAGCAAAUCUUAAAAACAUUUAGCAGCAGCCUAAUUAACACAAUAAUGAACUUGCAAUCAUAUAUCUAUUUUCAAGUUUGUAACUAAAUAGAGGCAAUUCAUGGAUGGUUCCCUCCACUGCCAGUCUAAAUUAAUAAGUUGGUCUUGAAUUCAACAAUGAACCAAGCGGAUUUUACCCUAGGGCCUGAGCUCCAUAGUCUCCCUUCAUCAAGCACGCCUAGUCUAUAUUGAUUUAUUAUUUGCUAUAUGAACCUGAUUUUAUCACUCAAAAUUAUCAUUUUUCAGUUAGUGGUGCUCUAUCUUGAGCAUUUCAAUGAAGAAUCUUUACAUAAAAUAAAAGUUACCACUUUUUAAAGCCAAUUAUUCAUAAAAAACUGAAAUAAAUGCUCUAAUCGAUGGUCGAACAUAUACUUAACAUUUACGAACAGACACGCUAACAAGCUUAUAAAAACUUCCACCAUUUCUAAAACACUGUUACAUAAAAUUUUGACAUGUAAUAAAAGUAUAAAACACAAUUGAUGCUUUUGUAAUGUAGCAUGCAGCAUAUACAACAGUACAAUUCUAGAUUCUAAUAUUUACCAAGCCAGUCAAUUGACUGAGAGCAAAAGAAUUGACUUCUUGUACUUUAAGGCAAAGCUUUUUGAGAAAACAUAGGAGUGAACAAAUUCAAAACUAAUAAUGUAUACACUACAAGUAUUUUAAAUACUACUAGUGACAUACUCAUUUCAAUCAAUCAAGAACCAGACAAGAAAAAGGGGAAUCAAAAAAAUAUGUAUUGGAAAGGAAAACAAACAAAUUAAACAAACAAUACGAAUGUGUUUAUAUAGUAGACUUAGUGGGCUUUUGGACAUAAAGAAUUGUGAAAUUUCGGGAAAAAUGUAAAAAACAAAUUCAAGUAAAAAUGAUAUUUGAAAGUUAGACUUGUAUUUGGACAUUGACACAAUUUGAAGCUGUUUUCUAACUUUUCAUUUAGCCCUUUAAUUUUGAUAUUUGAUGCAACUAACAACAACAACAACAACCCAGUAUAAUCUCACUUAGUGGGGUCUGGGGAGGGUAGUGUGCGCAGACCUUACCCCUACCCUUAGGUAGAGAGGCUGUUUCCAAAUAGACCCCCGAUAUCCUCCCUCCAAGAACUUCCCACCUUGCUCUUAGGGAGACUCGAACUCACAACCUCUCGGUUGGGAAGUGGGGGUUGCUUACCAUCAGAACAACCCCUCUUGUCUAAUUAUUCAUAAAAAACUGAAAUAAAUGCUCAUUCUCCAGAAUUUAAAUAGUGAAAAACUUUUAACCUAAUCUUGUGUUCAGAAAGUGCAUACACCAUCAAUAAAAACUCUUCAAUCCCUAGUUAGUUUUGAUCGCUUUUCAAUAUUUAAGAACCUCCGGAAUUCUUUGCAUACACUCUUUUAGUUAUAGUUCCCUAAAAAUAUUUCACCUUCUUGUCAUCUGGAUGACAGAUCUCAUGAAUCCAACAUAUUAUUAAUUGUUAUUCACAGUUGAUGAUUAUGAAACUAAGAUACAGAGCCGAAGUUUCCACUUAUAUAUCUGCAAGCAUUAUAUUUCUUGAACCGAGAGGGUCUCUUGGAAGCAACAAUGGAUAUACUUCAUAAUAUCAACAUAGACAAUAAAAGGGCUUAGAAGACAUCAAAUAGAAGAACAAUAUAACUGUCGAAACAAAAAACUAAAUACAAUUAUAGGUAGAACUUUAAUAACUUUAAACUUCUCCUCUAGCUCUUCGAUUUAUUUUUAACAAGGAUUUAAUUUCAUAAGAAUCAUCUCAAUCAUCUCCUUAUCAUGCCUUCUUCUUUAACAAAAGCUGGCAGGAAGAUAAUGUUUUCUAACAUACAUGCAAGAACUACUUAAAGUAUUAGCAGUAUGAUGGAUGUAUGGAGGGAGAUCGAGCAACUGAAAAUAUAACCCUUUGAUUUCUGUAAAAUGCUUAAGAGUAUCACUAAAGUGGGUGAUAACCUUUUGCUUCAAAGCUGAUAUAUUUUAUGUAGAAUUAUUGUAAUUACUUUUUAGGCUAGAUCUAUCUUUAAUCAGUAAAUGGUUAAUAUAUAUACUUAGUUUUAGCUUGAUGAAUUGAUUUCUCUUCAUCCUACCUAGUAUGGCUAUAUCCAAUCCCUAUUAUGAGGAAACUCACACUAAAGGAUUACGGACUGAGGAGCUUACCCUUCUUGAUAAUGCAAAACCUGGUUAAUUCCUUCUUGUUAGAAGCAAGUAUAUCACAUUUCAUCCUCAAAUUGCUUAUUCGAUUAAAAUCCAUUUCCUUGGCCCUUUUUAUAAAAGAAAGGUAACAAAAGUCAUUGCGGUCUUUUAGAUGCGUAAAAGGAGAAAGAUUAUACUUUGUGUAACAUUCAGAUUUCAUAAUCCUGUUUUGAACAAUAAAUUUUAAGCUAAAAGUAAUUAGGGGUACUUUAUGAGAAGGUUAUCAUCAUAGUUGACCAAUACAUGUUCACAUCUAAUGAAGGAGCAAAUUGCAAUAAUUUGUGGGUAUCUUGUGAUUGUCCUAAACCAAUCCUCAGCACCAUCAUUUGCCCCACCAGAAAUCUAUCUAUUUUAUCAGUGUGCGGCUUCGGAGAAUAAACUUUUACAGCAUUAUAAGUUCUUUUUAUUUCCAUUUUGCUAGUAUUUUUAUGAUUAAAAUGAUUUCCAUCAUAUUGAUCAUGCCUUCCUAAUUCUUGGUCUUCAAACUCUCAAGAUGUAGUUUGUAGUAAAACUAUUACUGUUCAUUUGCAGAGACUAAAUAAUAACAUUCUCCUCAAAAAUUACAUGUGAAAGGAAUUGAGUGAGACUCACUCAUAUAAUACUCAAUGAAGAAGGUAUCACUACAAAAUACAAUACUUCCAAUAUUCCCAUGCUCAAUAUUUAAAGCUAUUUUUUGAACAGUUUACACCGGUGGCAAAUUAAGUUGUUAUUUUUCAUACAGUUCACACUACUGGCAAAUUAAACUGGACAUGGUAUUGAUAUUUGAGUUCAAUUCAGUCACAUCAGAGAAAUGGUGAAACUUUUUAGUAUUUUUUUUCUCAACUUGAUAUGUCUAGCUAUCAGCUCAAAAUCCUAGACAAACAUACAUAUUAAUUAAUUAGGAUGUAAGAUUACUCACAAACCAAAAUUUUUAAUUUCUAAAGAGAGGACUUACAAUGAUUUAAAGCAAGCAAGUUUAUUUCCGUUAAUCACCACAAAAUUUAAAUUUAAUCACAUUUAUGUGGAAUAAGUAUCAAAAAACUUAUCAUACCUCAAGUACUGCCUUCUCUUAGACAGUGAGUAGUAACCAAAUGUGCAAAAAAGCAGAAUUCGAGAAUAGCAAGGAGAGUUAAGAUACCUGGGAGAGUACCUCUUUGACAAUAACUGCGGCACUACCUAUACCACUGCAACAUCAUAUUUUAGAGAGUUAUAGACAUCUCAAACAAAUAGAUAUGUCAAUCCCUAUAGCGUGCAAAAAGGAUAAACAUCUAAACUCAUGACUAUAAGAGAAGCUAUUUUAACACCAUAGCAUCCAUCUUUAUAAGAAUGACAGGAAUAUAGGAAAUUUACCAUAAGCUUUAAAAUAUCUACAACAUACCUACAGUCUAGCUGAACAAAACUUUUUGGAAAGUAACAGUUAACAACUCUAUUGUCCAAGAAUUUUCAGGUUCAAUGAAAACAAACAUGCACAAAUUCUUCUCUUGGAUAGUAAAUUUCAGAAAGCAAAUUUUGUCACUAAAGCACAUUGGAUUAUUGUUCAAGUACACAAGUUAAAUGGAGAACUUGAUGUCAAGAACAAGCAAAAAUAUUACAACACAACCACAAUUAUUCUUGAAUAAUAGCCGCGCAAAAAUCAAAGAACUUGCAGAUCUCCUAAAUGAACGUUCAUUCUUUUCACCUAAAAGGUCUUUUACAGGAAAAAAAAUUUGGAGAAUGACAUUUCUAUUAUUAAUGGGUUAAUGAAAAUACAACAUCACAUUAAGCCAAAGUGCAAGAUGCAGCAAGAAAUAAUUGGCAUAACUUCUCUAUGCUAUCCAAUUUAUAGAAGAGAGAGUAUAAAACUAUAAAUCACCAAAAGAAUGUCAACUUCUUCAAUAUCCAAAAAAAUAAAUAUGACAUCUGAAGUCUAAGAAGAUACUCAAAGUGAAUAACUUUUCUUUCGGGAAUGAAAAAAAGAAAUUACGUCAAAGGCGACUUUCAACAAUACCAUUUUACCAACAUGGACGACUUCUUAUUUGAUCAAUUUUUGUCAUUUUAUAGCUAUUACAUACCAGUUAGACGAUAUUUAUCUUCCACAUGGAUGCACGUGAUGGGUAGAAGCAGUUUUGUAUUUUCAGCAAAGUGUCAACAUGCUAGCGGCAUGUCCAUACUCGCCAUCACGCCAUUAGUUUGCUCUCGACCAUAAUAAAACAAACAGUCCAUAACAAUUGCACAAGCAGAAACGGAGAAAGUAGUAAAAUCAAAGAACGAGCUGAACACUGAAAGCAAGGAAUUGCAAAAGGCGAUAAACCAGCUAGUCAAUUAAUAAGUGUAACAUAUUUUCGCACUAAAUUCUUAAAUUUCUACAUAGAAAGUUAAGAAAUUUACGGGUAACAGAGAACUCUCAAAUUUUAACUCAAUAUCUAACAAUAAAUGAAUCUAUUGGAAGGGAAACUGAAUUGCAGAAAUUUAAUAAUUUGUACCCUCGAAUUCGGAUAAAAUGAAUGUCGUCGGAGAAUACUUGAAGAAGAAAGCGCAAAGCACAGAGAGAGAAGCGAUUUGUUCAAGAAGGGCACAAAGGUAUUGCAUAACUUUUAACUCAAGGGACACGCGUCGUAUUCUUGAACAAGAGGUGUAGUCGACUAAUG